CGGCGGUCUGCUGGGAAGCUGGGGGCUCCCGGAGCCGGCGGCGGGGGGCGACGCGGGGAGUCCGAGAAAGGAAGGGUGCCUUGCUAGGAUGAAAGGUUGCCGUGUAUCCUGAAAACAGACAUCUGUCCCCAGCAGCAAUGCAGUCCUUUUAGGAUUUUACCUACUGGUGGUGACAUGGAGGAUCAGAAGCUCCCCUGCUCCCCUUCCAGGCCACAGUUAACAUAGGCCAGAGGUUGCUGUGGAGCCACCACAAGGAGAAAUGCACAGUGACCGGCUUUCACUGGGAGACCUUCAAUGAGCAGCAGCGAGGAAGCAGCCACGGCCUGAGGCUGAGUGUCACGUCUUGGUUUUAAAAUUAAAACUGAAGAUAAAACACCCAAAAUAAAUAAGAAUGUAAAUUA
Molecule: long non-coding RNA, 401 nt
Organism: Canis lupus familiaris (dog)
Lineage: Eukaryota; Metazoa; Chordata; Mammalia; Carnivora; Canidae
Exons: 4
Source: RefSeq, a predicted model, not a curated record